Molecule: ribosomal RNA, 344 nt
Filed under: uncultured eukaryote
Lineage: Eukaryota
Description: SSU rRNA
Rfam family: Eukaryotic small subunit ribosomal RNA
Source: RNAcentral
CCAGCAGCCGCGGUAAUUCCAGCUCCAAUAGCGUAUAUUAAAGUUGUUGCAGUUAAAAAGCUCGUAGUUGGAAGUUUGGGUCCGGAUCUGGUGCGAGGGCGGUGAAAGCCGUUUUUUUCUUGUGCCGGCGGAGCCAUUCCUCCUGAAGGGUACGUUCGGCGGUCUUAGUUGAUCGUUGGGCGGUUUAAUGCGCUUCAGGUCGUUUACUUUGAGCAAAUUAGAGUGUUCAAAGCAGGCGUUUUUGCCUUGAAUACCUUAGCAUGGAAUAAUGAAAUAGGACUUGGUUUCUGUUUUGUUGGUUUCUAGAAGCCGAGUAAUGAUUAAUAGGAACAGUUGGGGCCGUU